GAAUCAACUAACCUGGGCCCACGGGGUU
RNAcentral lists this non-coding RNA (28 nucleotides) under Mus musculus (house mouse). The record is from RNAcentral. Lineage: Eukaryota; Metazoa; Chordata; Mammalia; Rodentia; Muridae.